AGGCCUAACACAUGCAAGUCGAACGGUAACAGGAAGCAGCUUGCUGCUUUGCUGACGAGUGGCGGACGGGUGAGUAAUGUCUGGGAAACUGCCUGAUGGAGGGGGAUAACUACUGGAAACGGUGGCUAAUACCGCAUAACGUCGCAAGACCAAAGAGGGGGACCUUCGGGCCUCUUGCCAUCAGAUGUGCCCAGAUGGGAUUAGCUUGUUGGUGAGGUAACGGCUCACCAAGGCGACGAUCCCUAGCUGGUCUGAGAGGAUGACCAGCCACACUGGAACUGAGACACGGUCCAGACUCCUACGGGAGGCAGCAGUGGGGAAUAUUGCACAAUGGGCGCAAGCCUGAUGCAGCCAUGCCGCGUGUAUGAAGAAGGCCUUCGGGUUGUAAAGUACUUUCAGCGGGGAGGAAGGUGUUGUGGUUAAUAACCGCAGCAAUUGACGUUACCCGCAGAAGAAGCACCGGCUAACUCCGUGCCAGCAGCCGCGGUAAUACGGAGGGUGCAAGCGUUAAUCGGAAUUACUGGGCGUAAAGCGCACGCAGGCGGUCUGUCA
RNAcentral lists this ribosomal RNA (552 nucleotides) under Escherichia coli. RNAcentral describes it as "bacterial SSU rRNA". It matches the Rfam family "Bacterial small subunit ribosomal RNA", at positions 44 to 585 of the family's 1533-position model. Lineage: Bacteria; Pseudomonadati; Pseudomonadota; Gammaproteobacteria; Enterobacterales; Enterobacteriaceae. The record is from RNAcentral.